This 486-nucleotide ribosomal RNA is filed under the name uncultured bacterium. RNAcentral describes it as "bacterial SSU rRNA". It matches the Rfam family "Bacterial small subunit ribosomal RNA", at positions 28 to 524 of the family's 1533-position model. The record is from RNAcentral.
GACGAACGCUGGCGGCGUGCUUAACACAUGCAAGUCAAGGGGGCCCAGCAAUGGGCAACCGGCGAACGGGUGCGUAACACGUGAGCAACCUACCGAACUGUGGGGGAUAGCCGGCCUAACGGCCGAGUAAUACCGCAUACGCUCUCAGUGAGGCAUUUCACUGAGAGGAAACCUACGGGACAGAUCGAGGGGCUCGCGGCCUAUCAGCUAGUUGGCGAGGUAACGGCUCACCAAGGCAACGACGGGUAGCUGGUCUGAGAGGAUGGCCAGCCACAUUGGGACUGAGAUACGGCCCAGACUCCUACGGGAGGCAGCAGUGGGGAAUCUUGCGCAAUGGCCUAACGGCUGACGCAGCGACGCCGCGUGUGGGAUGAAGCUCUUCGGAGUGUAAACCACUGUUGCCCGGGACGAACAGCUCGAUUUCUCGAGCCUGACGGUACCGGGUGAGGAAGCACCGGCUAACUCCGUGCCAGCCGCCGCCGUAAC